AGUGAACGCUGGCGGUAGGCCUAACACAUGCAAGUCGAACGGCAGCACAGUAAGAGCUUGCUCUUACGGGUGGCGAGUGGCGGACGGGUGAGGAAUACAUCGGAAUCUACUUUUUCGUGGGGGAUAACGUAGGGAAACUUACGCUAAUACCGCAUACUACCUACGGGUGAAAGCAGGGGAUCUUCGGACCUUGCGCGAGUGAAGGAGCCGAUGUCGGAUUCGCUAGUUGGCGGGGUAAAGGCGCACCAAGGCGACGAUCCGUAGCUGGCAUGAGAGGGUGGUCCGCCACACUGGAACUGAGACACGGUCCAGACUCCUACGGGAGGCAGCAGUGGGGAAUCUUGGACGAUGGAGGCAAGCCUGAUCCAGCCCUACCGCGUGGGUGAAGAAGGACUUCGGGUUGUAAAGCCAUUUUGUUGGGAAAGAAAAGCAGCAGGUUAAUCCCCCGCUGUUCUGACGGUACCCAAAGAAUAAGCACCGGCUAACUUCGUG
RNAcentral lists this ribosomal RNA (492 nucleotides) under uncultured bacterium. Its description in RNAcentral is "partial 16S ribosomal RNA". It matches the Rfam family "Bacterial small subunit ribosomal RNA", at positions 29 to 507 of the family's 1533-position model. The record is from RNAcentral.